This 249-nucleotide ribosomal RNA is filed under the name uncultured bacterium. Its description in RNAcentral is "partial 16S ribosomal RNA". It matches the Rfam family "Bacterial small subunit ribosomal RNA", at positions 15 to 273 of the family's 1533-position model. The record is from RNAcentral.
GAUCAUGGCUCAGGAUGAACGCUGGCGGCGUGCCUAACACAUGCAAGUCGAGCGAUCUUCUUCGGAAGAGAGCGGCGGACGGGUGAGUAACGCGUGGGUAACCUGCCCUGUACACACGGAUAACAUACCGAAAGGUAUGCUAAUACGGGAUAACGUAAGAGAGUCGCAUGGCUUUCUUAUCAAAGCUCCGGCGGUACAGGAUGGACCCGCGUCUGAUUAGCUAGUUGGUAAGGUAACGGCUUACCAAGG